AUUGAACGCUGGCGGCAGGCCUAACACAUGCAAGUCGAGCGAGCGGCGGACGGGUGAGUAAUGUAUGGGGACUGCCCGAUAGAGGGGGAUAACUACUGGAAACGGUGGCUAAUCCCGCAUACUAUCGGAUAACCCAUAUGGGAUUAGCUAGUAGGUGUGGUAAAGGCUAACCUAGGCGACGAUCUCUAGCGUGUCCGCGAGGAUGAUCAGCCAAACUGGGACGGAGACACGGCCCAGACUCCUACGGAGGCAGCAGUGGGGAAUAUUGGACAAGGGGCGCAAGCCUGAUGCAGCAAUGCCGCGUGUAUGAAGAAGGCCUUAGGGUUGUAAAGUACUUUCAGCGGGGAGGCGUUACCCGCAGAGGAAGCACCGGCUAACUCCGUGCCAGCAGCCGCGGUAAUUC
This 403-nucleotide ribosomal RNA is filed under the name uncultured bacterium. RNAcentral's name for it is "partial 16S ribosomal RNA". It matches the Rfam family "Bacterial small subunit ribosomal RNA", at positions 30 to 526 of the family's 1533-position model. The record is from RNAcentral.